GAGUUUGAUCGUGGCUCAGAACGAACGCUGGCGGCGUGGAUAAGACAUGCAAGUCGAGCGGUAGAGAGAAGCUUGCUUCUCUUGAGAGCGGCGGACGGGUGAGUAAUGCCUAGGAAUCUGCCUGGUAGUGGGGGAUAACGCUCGGAAACGGACGCUAAUACCGCAUACGUCCUACGGGAGAAAGCAGGGGACCUUCGGGCCUUGCGCUAUCAGAUGAGCCUAGGUCGGAUUAGCUAGUUGGUGAGGUAAUGGCUCACCAAGGCGACGAUCCGUAACUGGUCUGAGAGGAUGAUCAGUCACACUGGAACUGAGACACGGUCCAGACUCCUACGGGAGGCAGCAGUGGGGAAUAUUGGACAAUGGGCGAAAGCCUGAUCCAGCCAUGCCGCGUGUGUGGAGAAGGUCUUCGGAUUGUAAAGCACUUUAAGUUGGGAGGAAGGGCAGUAAAUUAAUACUUUGCUGUUUUGACGUUACCGACAGAAUAAGCACCGGCUAACUCUGUGCCAGCAGCC
This 512-nucleotide ribosomal RNA is filed under the name uncultured bacterium. RNAcentral's name for it is "bacterial SSU rRNA". It matches the Rfam family "Bacterial small subunit ribosomal RNA", at positions 9 to 516 of the family's 1533-position model. The record is from RNAcentral.